This 538-nucleotide long non-coding RNA is filed under the name Homo sapiens (human). RNAcentral describes it as "HSALNT0015657". The record is from RNAcentral. Lineage: Eukaryota; Metazoa; Chordata; Mammalia; Primates; Hominidae.
AAAAGGACAGGGUUGUUUUGGGGUGCUCUGAGAAGGGGAAAAGGAGACCAGUGUAUAACUUUGAGUAGCUAGAACGGGAAGAUUUGAGGGGGCUGAAUGAAUUGAUGAGAGUGAUUUAACUUAAAGGACUGGGGCAUUAUCUGUGGGCCCGGGUAUACUAGCUUCACUUUUGAGGAAAAGUGAAGCUGGGAAAUGUGAGAUCUACUCAGUGGGUCCGGGGAAAUGUGAGAGGAGUAAGGAAAGUGAAGACACAGAUGUGUUGGAGGCUCCAGGCUAGCAUGGUAAAGAGAAAGGGUUUCCUGGAUUCUGAUUACAGAAUGGACCUGUGGGGGUCUCAGAUUGAGGCCUAACAGCAUUUAAAAGGAGCAACUGGUAGAACAGAUUUGGGGAAAUAUUUAUGGGUAGAAGAGAAUGAUAAGUGAGCUACAGAAAUAGGUAGAAGCCCAUCUAAAUAUCAGGUAAGUAUCAGGGGGGUUAUGGAAAAUGCUUUGGUACCCGAAAGAUACUGAGUGAAUGCUAUUUGAAGGACCAACAGGAG